RNAcentral lists this ribosomal RNA (1506 nucleotides) under Triticum aestivum (bread wheat). Its description in RNAcentral is "partial small subunit ribosomal RNA". The record is from RNAcentral. Lineage: Eukaryota; Viridiplantae; Streptophyta; Magnoliopsida; Poales; Poaceae.
AUUGCGAUGGAACACGUUGAGAAUCCUAUUGAGGGUGACAAUGGAACUCCUGUGAGGAGUAAGAGACAAAGGACUGCAAAGUUCUUUGGUGAUGAUUUCAUUGUGUACCUUGUGGAUGACACACCCAGGACUAUUUCAGAAGCCUAUGCAUCUCCUGAUGCUGACUACUGGAAGGAAGCUGUUCGUAGAGAGAUGGAUUCCAUCUUAGCUAACGGUACCUGGGAGAUCACCGACCGUCCUUAUGGGUGCAAACCUGUAGGAUGUAAGUGGGUGUUCAAGAAGAAGUUUAGACCUGAUGGUACGAUUGAAAAGUACAAGGCACGACUUGUGGCCAAGGGUUAUACCCAGAAAGAAGGUGAAGACUUCUUUGAUACUUACUCACCCGUGGCUAGACUGACCACAAUUCGGGUGCUACUAUCACUGGCUGCCUCACAUGGUCUUCUCGUUCAUCAAAUGGACGUUAAGACGGCUUUCCUCAAUGGAGAGUUGAAGGAGGAAAUUUACAUGGAUCAGCUAGAUGGUUUUGUAGUACCUGGUCAGGAAGGAAAGGUGUGCAAGUUAUUAAAGUCUUUAUAUGGCCUUAAACAAGCUCCUAAGGAGUGGCAUGAGAAGUUCGAAAGAAUGUUAACUGCUGCCGGCUUUGUAGUAAACGAUGGUGACAAGUGUGUGUACUAUCGCCAUGGUGGGGGCGAAGGAGUUAUUCUUUGUCUGUAUGUCGAUGACAUACUGAUCUUUGGAACCAAACUUGAUUUAAUCAAGGAGGUUAAGGAUUUCUUAUCUCGCUGUUUUGAGAUGAAGGAUCUAGGAGUAGCUGAUGUUAUCUUAAACAUCAAGCUGUUGAGAGAUGAGAAUGGUGGGAUCACACUGCUUCAGUCUCACUAUGUGGAAAAGGUUUUGAGUCGUUUUGGGUAUAGCGACUGUACGCCUUCUCCAACUCCAUAUGAUGCUAGUGUUGCCACGAGGCCUGACAUCUCGUUUGCUGUUAGCAAGCUGAGUCGGUUUGUGUCAAAACUGGGAGAUGAUCAUUGGCAUGCGCUUGAGAAAGUUAUGCGCUAUUUGAAAGGCACCGCGAGUUAUGGGAUUCACUACACCGGGUAUCCAAGGGUACUGGAGGGUUAUAGUGACUCAAACUGGAUAUCUGAUGCUGAUGAGAUUAAGGCCACAAGUGGUUAUAUUUUUACACUUGGUGGUGACACUGCCACUGUUGAAGCAGAGUGGUUUCGUGAGCUCUUGAUGGACUUACCUAUGGUUGAAAAACCAAUACCCCCUAUCCUGAUGAACUGUGAUAAUCAAACUGUGAUCGUCAAGAUAAACAGUUCUAAGGACAAUAUGAAGUCCUCAAGGCAUGUGAAAAGGAGACUAAAAUCUGUCAGGAAAUUGAGGAACUCCGGAGUUAUUACGUUGGAUUAUAUCCAAACGUCGAAAAAUUUGGCAGAUCCCUUCACAAAGGGUCUAUCACGUAAUGUGAUAGAUAAUGCAUCGAUGGAGAUGGGUCUGAGACCCACC